UGGGGAAUAUUGCACAAUGGGCGCAAGCCUGAUGCAGCGACGCCGCGUGAGGGAUGAAGGCCUUCGGGUUGUAAACCUCUUUCGUCAGGGAACAAGGCACUGCUUUGGUGGUGUUGAGGGUACCUGGAUAAGAAGCGCCGGCUAACUACGUGCCAGCAGCCGCGGUAAUACGUAGGGCGCAAGCGUUGUCCGGAAUUAUUGGGCGUAAAGAGCUCGUAGGCGGCUGGUCGCGUCUGUCGUGAAAACUUCCGGCUCAACCGGGGGCUUGCGGUGGGUACGGGCCGGCUAGAGUGCGGUAGGGGUAACUGGAACUCCUGGUGUAGCGGUGGAAUGCGCAGAUAUCAGGAAGAACACCGAUGGCGAAGGCAGGUUACUGGGCCGUUACUGACGCUGAGGAGCGAAAGCGUGGGGAGCGAACAGGAUUAGAUACCCUGGUAGUCCACGCUGUAAACGUUGGGCACUAGGUGUGAGGCUCCUUUCCGGGGGUUUUGCGCCGUAGCUAACGCAUUAAGUGCCCCGCCUGGGGAGUACGGCCGCAAGGCUA
This 544-nucleotide ribosomal RNA is filed under the name uncultured bacterium. RNAcentral describes it as "bacterial SSU rRNA". It matches the Rfam family "Bacterial small subunit ribosomal RNA", at positions 355 to 896 of the family's 1533-position model. The record is from RNAcentral.